AUUGAACGCUGGCGGCAUGCCUUACACAUGCAAGUCGAACGGCAGCACGGGUGCUUGCACCUGGUGGCGAGUGGCGAACGGGUGAGUAAUACAUCGGAACGUACCUUAUCGUGGGGGAUAACGCAGCGAAAGUUGCGCUAAUACCGCAUACGCCCUGAGGGGGAAAGCGGGGGACCGUAAGGCCUCGCGCGAUUAGAGCGGCCGAUGUCUGAUUAGCUUGUUGGUGAGGUAAAAGCUCACCAAGGCGAUGAUCAGUAGCUGGUCUGAGAGGACGAUCAGCCACACUGGGACUGAGACACGGCCCAGACUCCUACGGGAGGCAGCAGUGGGGAAUUUUGGACAAUGGGGGCAACCCUGAUCCAGCAAUGCCGCGUGAGUGAAGAAGGCCUUCGGGUUGUAAAGCUCUUUUGUCAGGGAAGAAACAGCAGCUCUAACACAGACUGCGAAUGACGGUACCUGAAGAAUAAGCACCGGCUAACUACGUGCCAGCAGCCGCGGUAAUACGUAGGGUGCGAGCGUUAAUCGGAAUUACUGGGCGUAAAGCGUGCGCAGGCGGUUAUACAAGACAGGCGUGAAAUCCCCGGGCUUAACCUGGGAAUGGCGUCUGUGACUGUAUAGCUAGAGUGUGUCAGAGGGGGGUGGAAUUCCACGUGUAGCAGUGAAAUGCGUAGAUAUGUGGAGGAACACCAAUGGCGAAGGCAGC
This 703-nucleotide ribosomal RNA is filed under the name Pseudomonadota bacterium. RNAcentral's name for it is "bacterial SSU rRNA". It matches the Rfam family "Bacterial small subunit ribosomal RNA", at positions 28 to 725 of the family's 1533-position model. The record is from RNAcentral. Lineage: Bacteria; Pseudomonadati; Pseudomonadota.